CCACACUCAGGCGGGGAGUUAGCGGUGCCCUGAACCUGCAAUCCGCUAUAGCAGGGCCGAAAUCCCUGCAUGAGGCCUUUCCCUGUCAGGAAGGGUCUAUCAGGAGGCGAUGAAGGUUGGGUCCACCAUAGGGUGGAACUCUGAACCCCGUCAGGUCCGGAAGGAAGCAGCGGUAAGGAGUUUACAUCCUGAUGGUGGGUAGCCUGACUGGAGCCCACCCUGAUGGAUACCCCUGGUGGAGAAAGGUCGAAGCAGGGCGUGUGG
This 264-nucleotide signal recognition particle RNA is filed under the name bacterium. RNAcentral's name for it is "signal recognition particle sRNA large type". It matches the Rfam family "Bacterial large signal recognition particle RNA". From Rfam's summary of the family: The signal recognition particle (SRP) is a universally conserved ribonucleoprotein involved in the co-translational targeting of proteins to membranes. The record is from RNAcentral.